GACGAACGCUGGCGGCGUGCCUGACACAUGCAAGUCGUACGAGAAAGUCGGCUUCGGCCGAUGAGUACAGUGGCGCACGGGUGAGUAACGCGUGGGUAAUCUGCCCCCCGGUCAGGAAUAACCCGCCGAAAGGCGGGCUAAUACCCGAUAACACUGACGCUCUGCGGAGCGUCUUUCAAAGAAGGCCUCUGUUUACAAGCUUUCGCCGGAGGAUGAGCCCGCGUACCAUUAGCUAGUUGGCAGGGUAAUGGCCUACCAAGGCAACGAUGGUUAGCUGGUCUGAGAGGAUGGCCAGCCACACUGGAACUGAGACACGGUCCAGACUCCUACGGGAGGCAGCAGUGAGGAAUCUUGCGCAAUGGGGGAAACCCUGACGCAGCAACGCCGCGUGAGUGAGGAAGGUUUUCGGACCGUAAAGCUCUGUCGAGCGGGAAGAAAUGUAUCAUGGCUAAUAUCCAUGAUACUUGACGGUACCGCUAAAGGAAGCACCGGCUAACUCCG
RNAcentral lists this ribosomal RNA (501 nucleotides) under uncultured bacterium. RNAcentral describes it as "bacterial SSU rRNA". It matches the Rfam family "Bacterial small subunit ribosomal RNA", at positions 28 to 505 of the family's 1533-position model. The record is from RNAcentral.